Molecule: ribosomal RNA, 468 nt
Filed under: uncultured bacterium
Lineage: Bacteria
Description: partial 16S ribosomal RNA
Rfam family: Bacterial small subunit ribosomal RNA
Source: RNAcentral
GACGAACGCUGGCGGCGUGCUUAACACAUGCCAGUCGAACGGAAAGGCCCUGCUUUUGUGGGGUGCUCGAGUGGCGAACGGGUGAGUAACACGUGAGUAACCUGCCCUUGACUUUGGGAUAACUUCAGGAAACUGGGGCUAAUACCGGAUAGGAGCUCCUGCUGCAUGGUGGGGGUUGGAAAGUUUCGGCGGUUGGGGAUGGACUCGCGGCGUAUCAGCUUGUUGGUGGGGUAGUGGCUUACCAAGGCUUUGACGGGUAGCCGGCCUGAGAGGGGGACCGGCCACAUUGGGACUGAGAUACGGCCCAGACUCCUACGGGAGGCAGCAGUGGGGAAUAUUGCACAAUGGGCGGAAGCCUGAUGCAGCAACGCCGCGUGCGGGAUGACGGCCUUCGGGUUGUAAACCGCUUUCGCCUGUGACGAAGCGUGAGUGACGGUAAUGGGUAAAGAAGCACCGGCUAACUACGUG